CACUCCUACGGGAGGCAGCAGUGAGGAAUAUUGGACAAUGGGUGGAAGCCUGAUCCAGCCAUCCCGCGUGCAGGAAGACGGCCCUAUGGGUUGUAAACUGCUUUUAUCUGGGGAUAAACCUACUUACGUGUAAGUAGCUGAAGGUACCAGAAGAAUAAGCACCGGCUAACUCCGUGCCAGCAGCCGCGGUAAUACGGAGGGUGCAAGCGUUAUCCGGAUUUAUUGGGUUUAAAGGGUCCGUAGGCGGACUGAUAAGUCAGUGGUGAAAUCCGACAGCUUAACUGUCGAACUGCCAUUGAUACUGUUAGUCUUGAGUAAGGUUGAAGUGGCUGGAAUAAGUAGUGUAGCGGUGAAAUGCAUAGAUAUUACUUAGAACACCAAUUGCGAAGGCAGGUCACUAAGUCUUAACUGACGCUGAUGGACGAAAGCGUGGGGAGCGAACAGGAUUAGAAACCCGAGUAGUCCCAU
This 468-nucleotide ribosomal RNA is filed under the name uncultured organism. RNAcentral describes it as "partial 16S ribosomal RNA". It matches the Rfam family "Bacterial small subunit ribosomal RNA", at positions 334 to 798 of the family's 1533-position model. The record is from RNAcentral.